CAGAAACUCAAAGGAAUUGACGGGGCCCGCACAAGCGGUGGAGCAUGUGGUUUAAUUCGAUGCAACGCGAAGAACCUUACCUGGUCUUGACAUCCCGGAGACCCUUAGGAAACUAGGGGGUGCUUCCAUCUGGAAGAAUCUGGAGACAGGUGCUGCAUGGCUGUCGUCAGCUCGUGUCGUGAGAUGUUGGGUUAAGUCCCGCAACGAGCGCAACCCUUGCCUUUAGUUGCCAGCAGUUCGGCUGGGCACUCUAAAGGGACUGCCGGUGUUAAACCGGAGGAAGGUGGGGAUGACGUCAAGUCCUCAUGGCCUUUAUGACCAGGGCUACACACGUACUACAAUGGCCGAUACAAAGGGCAGCGACACUGCGAGGUGAAGCCAAUCCCGUAAAAUCGGUCUCAGUCCGGAUUGGAGUCUGCAACUCGACUCCAUGAAGUUGGAAUCGCUAGUAAUCGUGGAUCAGCAUGCCACGGUGAAUACGUUCCCGGGCCUU
This 493-nucleotide ribosomal RNA is filed under the name uncultured Desulfobulbus sp. RNAcentral's name for it is "bacterial SSU rRNA". It matches the Rfam family "Bacterial small subunit ribosomal RNA", at positions 894 to 1382 of the family's 1533-position model. The record is from RNAcentral. Lineage: Bacteria; Pseudomonadati; Thermodesulfobacteriota; Desulfobulbia; Desulfobulbales; Desulfobulbaceae.